CUGGUAGGGCCGGCAUAAUGAAAUACCAUUCUUAUCAUGUAAUUUACUGAUGCCCUGCUUCCCGUCCCCCUUUGGGAUUCCUGGCAGCUGACCGAUAAAAAUGAGAGCGGUUGAGACUAGAUGUCAUUCUGCAAUUCUUGCAGGGUCCCAUCUCCUCUGUUUAUAUAUCUAUGGUUCCCAUCUUCAAGGGUCAGGCUAGAUGGCCCCUGGUUCAUCACCCCUCCGCCCUUCCCCUGCAGGACUCAACGGGAGCUUCCCAGUGGAGCUGAGCCAUGGAAGCCAGAUUGUCCCCUGUGGCGAAGCCCUGCGUCACCUUUAGGUGCCCGGCGCCCCCUGCUGGCCUACACCGGAAGAAUCCGCAGUGCUUUCCAGGUCCCCGGACCGGCGCCCCAGGUGAGCCGUGCCUGCCAAGCAGCUGCGUGGCCCCUGCCCACACCAAGGACUGUGGCGACGGUGGAGAUGAAUGGGGUUGCGGUGAGUGGUCAAGGGGGCAUUUGAGGCCAGGGGAACAUUGGUGCCACCAGAAGGGAGGGGGUUACCAGUGUCGCAGGAAACCCCCCCCCCCCAAUCAUUCAGUUUUUAUAAACUUCACUCACACACUACAUACGCUACACUUCUGUUAUAAAUUCAUAGAAAAUCAACCAUACAUCGGAUUUGCACUGUUCCACUUUGUAACCACGUUUUUGCACCACUGCGGCCCCAGGCAACAGUGGGUGCGUGAUUUUUUUUGGUGCAAGCUGUAGCCAUGGACAUGCUAUGUGAUCUGAUGGUGAAUUUGGGGUGACCCAGUGCAAAAAUCCUGAGGAUCCAUGUGGAUCCGUGCUUUGUAACCACGUGAAUGAAGGAACUGUCAGUAAUGUAUGGUAUCUCCAAUACAGUGAUGAAGGAAGGGGGGGGGCUCACACUUAUCCUAGGCAAAGCAGCCAACUCCUAUAGGCCUAGGUGCCUUCACCCCCUCCAUUAAAUAUUUGAGGGAGUCAUCCUCCCCCCAUGCUGAUGGGCAUUGCCAUUCAUAUAAGGUACCAGUGUGCAUGCACUUUGUCUUGAGACCAUUGCAGUCUGUGAGAUGGGGCUUACCUGUACCUGCCCCCCCCCAUAUUUUAUUGAAAUUGGAAGAGGGAGGGAGGGAGGGAAGAGAGAUGGAGAGCUCACAUUUGUCCUAGGCAAAGCAGCCAACUCCUAUGGGCCUAGGUGCCUUCACCCCCCCCCCGGUUAAAUAUUUGAGGGAGUCAUCCCCCAUCCCCCAUUGUGGUAUGUGAGUGGGGCUUACCUGGCUGUCCCCCCAAUAUUUUCUGAAGUUGGAAGAGGGAGGGAGGGAGGGAAGGAAGGAAGGAAGAGAGAGGGGGAGCUCACAUUUGUGCAGCUGCCUUGCCUCUAACCGAAGCAAAAAGAGGAGGAGACGCAGGGACACGAGCCUUGUAAGCCGCUUUGUUUGAAUUUACCGGUGAGGUGCUGGGGGAGUGACGGAAGGGGAUGCCCUCUUUGUCCCUCCUUCCAGCUCAU
This 1503-nucleotide long non-coding RNA is filed under the name Podarcis muralis (Common wall lizard). Its description in RNAcentral is "lncRNA (ENSPMRG00000022276.1)". The record is from RNAcentral. Lineage: Eukaryota; Metazoa; Chordata; Lepidosauria; Squamata; Lacertidae.